Molecule: transfer RNA, 69 nt
Filed under: Rattus norvegicus (Norway rat)
Lineage: Eukaryota; Metazoa; Chordata; Mammalia; Rodentia; Muridae
Rfam family: tRNA
About the family: Transfer RNA (tRNA) molecules are approximately 80 nucleotides in length. Their secondary structure includes four short double-helical elements and three loops (D, anti-codon, and T loops).
Source: Rfam by way of RNAcentral
GGGGAUUUAGCUCAGUGGAAGAGCGCUUGCCUAGCAAGCACAAGGCCCUGGGUUCGGUCCCCAGCUCUG